Small nuclear RNA from Sphaerodactylus townsendi, 106 nucleotides. The record is from RefSeq and is a predicted model, not a curated record. NCBI's taxonomy places the organism in Eukaryota, Metazoa, Chordata, Lepidosauria, Squamata, Sphaerodactylidae.
GUGUUGUAUGAAAGGAGAGAAACUUCAUGCUACCCAUGCAAUGAACAGAAGAGGUCCUGGUGGCCUGUGCAACAGGCAUAUGGUUAAGAUGUUGCCGCUUACUUUG